Molecule: ribosomal RNA, 644 nt
Filed under: Phortica picta
Lineage: Eukaryota; Metazoa; Arthropoda; Insecta; Diptera; Drosophilidae
Description: partial 16S ribosomal RNA
Source: RNAcentral
UUAAAUUUUAUUUAUUAAUUUUAUUGUUUAAAAUUUAAAUUAUUAAAAAUAAUUAUAAAAUUAAAUGUUUUAGUAUUUUUUAAAGAAAAAAUAAUAUAAAUUAUAGUUUAUUAGUAUUGUAAAAGAAAAUUGAAAUAAUUGAAAAAUUAUUAUGUUAAAAGAAAAUUUUAUUUAUUGUACCUUGUGUAUCAGCGUUUAUUAAAUAAAAAAUAAAAAUUUAUUAUUCUCGAUUUUAAAAGAGUUAAUAUAAUAUAAAAGUUAAUGUGAUAAAAUUAUUUUUAAUAUUAUAUUAGAAAUGAAAUGUUAUUCGUUUUUAAAGGUAUCUAGUUUUUUAAGAAAUGAAUUUAAUUCAGAAUUUAUAAAUUUAUUAAUUUUAUUAAAUUAAUUUAAUAAUUUAUAAAUUUAAUAUUUUAUGGGAUAAGCUGUAAAAUAAAUUUUUAAAAAUAAUAAAUUUUAAUAAAAAAUAUAAGCUUAGAAUUAGCAAUUAUUUAUAAAUUUGUUAUAAUUUAUUUUGUUUAAAUGUAUUAUUUAUUAUGUUUUAAGUUUUUAUUAAAAUAUUAAUUUUAAUUUUAAAAAUUAAGAAAAAAUGAUAAAAUUAGUAUAUUAAUUUGUUAAAUAAAUUUAAAUGAUAAGUUUAUGUAAAG